AUUGAACGCUGGCGGCUUGCCUUACACAUGCAAGUCGAACGGCAGCACGGGAGCAAUCCUGGUGGCGAGUGGCGAACGGGUGAGUAAAGUAUCGGAACGUGCCCAGUCGUGGGGGAUAACGUAGCGAAAGUUACGCUAAUACCGCAUACGAUCUAUGGAUGAAAGCGGGGGAUCGCAAGACCUCGCGCGAUUGGAGCGGCCGAUAUCAGAUUAGGUAGUUGGUGGGGUAAAGGCUCACCAAGCCGACGAUCUGUAGCUGGUCUGAGAGGACGACCAGCCACACUGGGACUGAGACACGGCCCAGACUCCUACGGGAGGCAGCAGUGGGGAAUUUUGGACAAUGGGCGAAAGCCUGAUCCAGCCAUGCCGCGUGCAGGAUGAAGGCCUUCGGGUUGUAAACUGCUUUUGUACGGAACGAAAAGGUUUGGCCUAAUAAGCUGAGCUCAUGACGGUACCGUAAGAAUAAGCACCGGCUAACUCUGUGCCAGCCGCCGCGGUAA
This 500-nucleotide ribosomal RNA is filed under the name uncultured bacterium. RNAcentral describes it as "partial 16S ribosomal RNA". It matches the Rfam family "Bacterial small subunit ribosomal RNA", at positions 30 to 523 of the family's 1533-position model. The record is from RNAcentral.